GGGGGAAUAUUGGACAAUGGGCGCAAGCCUGAUCCAGCAAUGCCGCGUGUGUGAAGAAGGUCUUCGGAUCGUAAAGCACUUUCGACAGGGACGAUGAUGACGGUACCUGUAGAAGAAGCCCCGGCUAACUUCGUGCCAGCAGCCGCGGUAAUACGAAGGGGGCUAGCGUUGCUCGGAAUUGCUGGGCGUAAAGGGCGCGUAGGCGGCUCUGUUAGUCAGGCGUGAAAUUCCUGGGCUUAACCUGGGGACU
Molecule: ribosomal RNA, 250 nt
Filed under: uncultured bacterium
Lineage: Bacteria
Description: partial 16S ribosomal RNA
Rfam family: Bacterial small subunit ribosomal RNA
Source: RNAcentral